Scophthalmus maximus (turbot) is the source of this 441-nucleotide long non-coding RNA. RefSeq lists it as uncharacterized. Lineage: Eukaryota; Metazoa; Chordata; Actinopteri; Pleuronectiformes; Scophthalmidae. The transcript has 3 exons. The record is from RefSeq and is a predicted model, not a curated record.
UCUCAUCCUCCUCCUUCAUCUCCAGUCUCCUCUACCAAAAAAAUUAAAACCCAAAAUGAAAGGGAAAAGAAGAAGGCAUAAUAAGUUGGACACCAUGCUCCAAAUAUAAACCUGUGUUGGACUGGAAAGAAAAGGAUUUAUAUAGUGAUACAUUAGUCGCCCUACAAUUUUAAAUUCACUUUUUUGUCUGAUGGCAAGGAGUGGGACGAUACAUGGGAGCCAGCCCAACAGUACAGCUGCUAUAAAUAAAUAACUGAACUGAACUAAACAGGAAAGUAUAAAAUAAAAUAAUAAUGGCAGUUUGUUAUUUACAAAUGCUAAGAUUAUUUUAUUUAUUUGUGUUUUGUGUUAUUUUGAAACAUAGGCCUCCUCUUGGGAACCCGUUAUAAUUGGGCAUCACGCAAAUUUUAGUACACACACAGACACAAGGUUGCCUGCAGG